Callorhinus ursinus (northern fur seal) is the source of this 618-nucleotide long non-coding RNA. RefSeq lists it as uncharacterized. NCBI's taxonomy places the organism in Eukaryota, Metazoa, Chordata, Mammalia, Carnivora, Otariidae. The record is from RefSeq and is a predicted model, not a curated record.
CAGACAGGGCUGGAGGGGCUUUCAAUCAGCAACCCCCUGGUCCCCCCAGCACUGACAACUAAGCCUGAGGAGGAGAAGGCAGCUUCCUGCCGGUGCCUGACACCACCAUGCAACAGGAGUCCCAGGGUACUUGAGAAUCCCGCAGACUGCAAGGCGAAAAAUAACCAGCAUGUUCGAGCUGGUGGGGACUGGAACACAAACACCCCCCCACAGUAUCAGGGAAACACUUUGCCGGGAGCAGCAACGUGAGAAUGCCACUAGGAUGACUUAACUAGGAAGCGCAGCGGGGCAUCUCCCACCUGACGGCUUGGGCAGUGUGGGCCCUGCACCCAGAUUUGGGAAGCUGGUCGGUGGAAGAAGAUGAAAGGCAGGGUUUCCCUCUCCGGAUGUGGCCAUCAUUUCCUCAGGCCAACGACUGGGACAUCAGGGCUGUCUGCAGAAGGGCGUGUGGUUACGCUGUGAUCCCUGCUUUGUAAAACACUGUUUCUUUUCUGAACUUUCGCUCACAUUUCCCAUGCACCAUGCCUACUGCAUAGAUCAGGGGAGGCAAUUUAACAGAUGUCAUAUUCUCCCGGGUUUGUACAGAGCAGGACUGAAUAAAUAAGUCAUUCAACACUG